Molecule: unclassified non-coding RNA, 211 nt
Filed under: plant metagenome
Description: partial contains small subunit ribosomal RNA, internal transcribed spacer 1, and 5.8S ribosomal RNA
Source: RNAcentral
UUUCCGUAAGUGAACCUGCGGAAGGAUCAUUCAUAAUAAAGUGUUUUAUGGCACUUUUUAAAAAUCCAUAUCCACCUUGUGUGCAAUGUUAGAUCUCGUCAAUCUUGGCGAGAUUUUUAUACAUCAACUCAUUCUUUAACUAAUUUGUCUGAAAAAUAUUAUGAAUACUUAAUUCAAAAUAUAACUUUCAACAACGGAUCUCUUGGCUCUC